Molecule: ribosomal RNA, 663 nt
Filed under: uncultured Actinomycetes bacterium
Lineage: Bacteria; Bacillati; Actinomycetota; Actinomycetes
Description: bacterial SSU rRNA
Rfam family: Bacterial small subunit ribosomal RNA
Source: RNAcentral
CGCGGCCUAUCAGCUUGUUGGUGGGGUAACGGCUCACCAAGGCGACGAUGGGUAGCCGGCCUGAGAGGGUGUCCGGCCACACUGGGACUGAGAUACGGCCCAGACUCCUACGGGAGGCAGCAGUCGAGAGGCUUCGGCAAUGGGGGAAACCCUGACCGAGCGACGCCGCGUGCGGGACGAAGGCCUUCGGGUUGUAAACCGCUGUCAGCAGGGAAGAAUGGCAUCUCGGUCAAUACCCGGGAUGUUUGACGGUACCUGCAGAGGAAGCUCCGGCUAACUCCGUGCCAGCAGCCGCGGUAAUACGGGGGGAGCAAACGUUGUUCGGAUUCACUGGGCGUAAAGGGGACGUAGGCGGCUAGAUUAGUGGGGCGUGAAACGUCUCGGCUCAACCGAGGACCUGCGCUUCAAACUGUCUGGCUUGAGUCCGGGAGGGGAGACGGGAAUUCCUGGUGUAGCGGUGAAAUGCGCAGAUAUCAGGAGGAACACCGGUGGCGAAGGCGCGUCUCUGGACCGGUACUGACGCUGAUGUCCGAAAGCGUGGGGAGCAAACAGGAUUAGAUACCCUGGUAGUCCACGCCGUAAACGAUGAGCACUAGAUGUGGGGAGUAUCUACCCUCUCCGUGUCGCAGCUAACGCAUUAAGUGCCCCGCCUGGGGAGUACGG